This 406-nucleotide ribosomal RNA is filed under the name uncultured bacterium. Its description in RNAcentral is "partial 16S ribosomal RNA". It matches the Rfam family "Bacterial small subunit ribosomal RNA", at positions 29 to 526 of the family's 1533-position model. The record is from RNAcentral.
AUUGAACGCUGGCGGCAGGCCUAACACAUGCAAGUCGAACGAGUGGCGGACGGGUGAGUAAUGUCUGGGAAACUGCCUGAUGGAGGGGGAUAACUACUGGAAACGGUAGCUAAUACCGCAUACCCUCAGAUGUGCCCAGAUGGGAUUAGCUAGUUGGUGGGGUAACGGCUCACCAAGGCGACGAUCCCUAGCUGGUCUGAGAGGAUGACCAGCCACACUGGAACUGAGACACGGUCCAGACUCCUACGGGAGGAAGCAGUGGGGAACAUUGCACAAUGGGCGCAGGCCUGAUGCAGAAAGGCCGCGUGGAUGAAGAAGGCCUUCGGGUUGUAAAGUACGUUCAGCGGGGAGGCGGUACCCGAAGAAGAAGCACCGGCUAACUCCGUGCCAGCAGCCGCGGUAAUAC